RNAcentral lists this ribosomal RNA (335 nucleotides) under Trichadenotecnum yamatomajus. Its description in RNAcentral is "partial 12S ribosomal RNA". The record is from RNAcentral. Lineage: Eukaryota; Metazoa; Arthropoda; Insecta; Psocodea; Psocidae.
GAGUAGUAAAUGUUUUGGACAGGAAACUUAAAGAAUUUGGCGGUGUAUAUUCUAAUUAGAGGAAUAUGUUUUUUGAUUGAUACUCCCCAUGUAUUUCACUUAAAUUUAUUUAUUUUGUAUAUCUCCGUCUUAAAAAAACUUUUUAAAAUAUUUUUUAUUUUUUAUAAUUUAAAAUAAGUCAGGUCAAGGUGCAGAUUAUAUUUAAGUUAAAAUGUAUUACAAUAAAGUUAUUUUUGGACUAAAAUUUAAAUUGUUUUAUCAAAUUGGAUUUAUGAGUAAAUUUUUUUAUAUAAUAAUUUAUUGAAUUGUGUUAAUAUGCAUGCACACAUCGCCCG